Molecule: long non-coding RNA, 1413 nt
Organism: Spinacia oleracea (spinach)
Lineage: Eukaryota; Viridiplantae; Streptophyta; Magnoliopsida; Caryophyllales; Amaranthaceae
Exons: 8
Source: RefSeq, a predicted model, not a curated record
CAACGCAGGUCAAACAUUAUAAACUGUUGUUGAAGCGAACAUUUUUGUUAUUCGCUUCAAUAGCAGUUGUUGAAGGGGGGAUUAAAUGUUCGCUUCAACAAAUAACAGUCGCAUAUACUCCAACUUUUGAUUCUCUCUCCUCCUCAUUUCUUCUAUUAACCUGAAAGAUUCAUUUCUCUCUCUUCUCUCCCCUCUCCUCUCUCCCGGUUCAAAACUCCUCAAACCAUCCGCCCCUUUCCAUGGAAGGUCUAUCUUCUCUCCCUCUCCCCCAUUCUCUAUAAUUUCAAAGAAGGUGUCUUCAUAAACGGCCUCGAUUUCGUUUUCUUUCUCUCUCCUCUUUCAAAAAAAAAUUCGUGUUAGAUCUAGAUAUUUCAAGCGAAAACGAGGGAGUGCAUCGGUCAAGCUGGUAGCUUUACUGUGUCGAGCAUGGUAUUCAGUUUGAUCAGUUGAUUGUUCCUGAUGAAUAUCGUUGCCCCAUUUCUAAAGAAAUUGUGAAGGACCCUGUUAUUUCAUCUACUGGAAGUGGGAAAAUGCAAGGAGUCUAUUGCCUCCAAAUGUUAGGGUUGUGGAAAUGAGUAUGAAUGAUUCCUGGUUUUGUGAUUCAAGACCUACUUUUCUCGUAAGGAAGAACAACAUGAAGAGUGUAGCUGGAAUCGAUUGGACUUUCAACAGUUAGGGUGGCGUUGAUGAUGGAUGCUAUAAGGAUUGGAGUCAUGACAUUCUUGUUUCAAGGAAGGGUAUGGUUUUCGAUCUCCUUUAAAGGCGGUCACACAAUCGGAGGUCAAUCAAGAAUUGGAAAGACAAGAGGUUGAAGAAAUGUUAGAUGAUUGUAUUAAAAUGUAUGCCCUUAAACAGGUUCCCUCUGAGAAAAUAUGCAUUGAGAAAGAGUCUAUAACUGAUGGAAUUUUGGAACUCAUAUCUGAAUUGGGGAUACAGAAAUUGGUGAUGGGUGCAGGAUCUAACAACAGAUUUUUUUGAGGUGGAGAUACAAAUUUUGAAAUGCACUUCCACAUUUUUUGUUCUGUUCCGGUUUCUAUAAUUUUACAGUAAUUGAUUUUAUUAUAACUACUUCUGAUUUUAGUGACCAUGUUCUAGGCAUUAUUAUAUUGAGCAACGACAAAUAUCAUAUCGUACAUGUUCUGAUAAAAACGCACCUCAAUCUAUAGGAUGACAUGUCCUGUUUUGUUGCCUUGAUAUUGCAGGAUAAAACCAAAACCCACCUCAGAACAGUCUAAUGAAGUCCUUAAUAAAGCUCCUGAUUUCUGUCAUAUCUGGUUUGUAUACAAGGGUCGUCUAAUAUAUACAAGGAAGUUUGAAGAUAGAAGGGUGGUGAAAUUUACUAUGGAAGACUUGUCAAGAAAUGAUAAAUGGGCAUGGUGUAAUUUUGGUAAUGGUUAAGGGAAGCGUAGGCCG